GUCCUGAUAGGGUAGUGGAUAUCCUGGAAGCCUGCGGAGCUUUCGACCUGAGUUCGAGUCUCAGUCGGGACG
Molecule: transfer RNA, 72 nt
Filed under: Methanimicrococcus sp.
Lineage: Archaea; Methanobacteriati; Methanobacteriota; Methanomicrobia; Methanosarcinales; Methanosarcinaceae
Also listed under: 2 other names
Description: tRNA-Arg
Rfam family: tRNA
About the family: Transfer RNA (tRNA) molecules are approximately 80 nucleotides in length. Their secondary structure includes four short double-helical elements and three loops (D, anti-codon, and T loops).
Source: RNAcentral